Molecule: non-coding RNA, 611 nt
Organism: Momordica charantia (bitter melon)
Lineage: Eukaryota; Viridiplantae; Streptophyta; Magnoliopsida; Cucurbitales; Cucurbitaceae
Source: RefSeq, a predicted model, not a curated record
GAGGAGCAACCGCAGCAUGUGCGCUACCACCUCCGCAGAUGAAAAUCUUUUUGAGAAGGAGAGAUAAAGUCCUUUUGCCAAUAACGGUGUAAGAUCUUGAAGGUGCUGUUGCAGGGAAGACGAUGGAUUCUCUCGAGACCUCUUCGUGUGUGCUUGAUUCAGAUUCUCAUCUCCAAACGUACCGAUUGCCAGCAACACAUGAGGUCCAUUGUUGAAUUCUUCUGGAAAAUCCGGGGGCCUGCUGUGGCUGCAAGUGCACGAAGAAGAUGGACAACGAAGAAAAGGACAGCGACUGAGCUAUCACGCACGAAGAAGAUUUGAAGAAGAACAUCCUCUUUAUCAGAAAUAUAAAAUAAUAUAUAUAUAUAUGGGUGGCCAAUGGAAAGAGGUAGCUCUGGUUGGUACAUAUCAGAUACGUUAUAUAUAUUAUAUUAUAUAGCCCACCUUCUCGUGGGGAUGUCUCUCACUAACCGAACCAUCAGGGCGCACCUCCUGAAUCUCAUUUACAUUGGUUCUAACACCAAAUAUAUAUUUUUUUAAAGACCAUUCUCAAACUUCAACCAUUCCCGUCAAAUUCCUUCCCCGGUUGCUAAUAUACAACAUUUAAAUAA